CCUACGGGUGGCAGCAGUGGGGAAUAUUGCACAAUGGGGGAAACCCUGAUGCAGCGACGCCGCGUGAGCGAUGAAGUAUUUCGGUAUGUAAAGCUCUAUCAGCAGGGAAGAAAAUGACGGUACCUGACUAAGAAGCCCCGGCUAACUACGUGCCAGCAGCCGCGGUAAUACGUAGGGGGCAAGCGUUAUCCGGAUUUACUGGGUGUAAAGGGAGCGUAGACGGUGCUGCAAGACAGAUGUGAAAGGCCGGGGCACAACCCCGGGACUGCAUUGGAAACUGUAUAGCUGGAGUGUAGGAGAGGCAAGCGGAAUUCCUAGUGUAGCGGUGAAAUGCGUAGAUAUUAGGAGGAACACCAGUGGCGAAGGCGGCCUGCUGGACGAUGACUGACGUUGAGGCUCGAAAGCGUGGGGAGCAAACAGGAUUAGAUACCCGUGUAGUC
This 440-nucleotide ribosomal RNA is filed under the name uncultured bacterium. RNAcentral's name for it is "partial 16S ribosomal RNA". It matches the Rfam family "Bacterial small subunit ribosomal RNA", at positions 338 to 795 of the family's 1533-position model. The record is from RNAcentral.